Mytilus californianus (California mussel) is the source of this 2833-nucleotide RNA transcript. RefSeq lists it as uncharacterized. The record is from RefSeq and is a predicted model, not a curated record. Lineage: Eukaryota; Metazoa; Mollusca; Bivalvia; Mytilida; Mytilidae. The transcript is spliced from 2 exons.
AUUCUUUCAACUAUUAACAGUUUGUUUGAUCCGUUGGGUUUUAUUUCGCCGCUAGUCAUCAGUGGGAAAAUUCUACUUCGAGAAGUUGUUCCACCAGGAACUGAUUGGGAUGAUCCGCUGUCUACUGAUCAUGCAACAAAAUGGAAAAACUGGUUGAAGUCUUUGAAAUCUGUUAGUUGUUUUCAAAUACCGCGUAUGAUUGUUCCUGUAUCUAUUUCUUUGACACGCCAAGUUGAUAUCCACAUUUUUUCUGAUGCUUCAGAACAAGCAAUCUCUGCUGUGGCUUAUCUAGAGGCAAUUGAUGAAACUGGUUCAGCGUUUAUAGGUUUUCUUACUGGAAAGUCUAAACUUGCACCUAUCAAAGGUCAUACUAUUCCUAGAUUGGAACUGUGCGGUGCCGUGUUGGCUACGGAAGUUGGAGAAGCGAUAUGUCAUCAUAUGAAUCGGUCUCCGAGUGUUUGUCAUUACUAUACAGACAGUCGAGUAGUGUUAGGAUAUAUAUGUAAUACCACCCGUCGAUUCUUCACAUAUGUCAGUAAUCGUGUGGAAAAGAUUCAUAAAGUGUCGGAACCUUCACAGUGGUCAUAUGUAUCAACGGAUAGAAACCCAGCUGACUUAGGGACUAGAUUUAUUAGCUCUCCAGACAUGCAAGUUAUUAGUUCUUGGAUUAACGGACCGAAUUGGUUAUUAAACAAGGAACCCUUUGAUAUGGUAUCUUUUCCGUUGUUAUCACCACAAGACGAUAAGGAAAUUCGUUCUGAAAUUGUUUCACGUAAAACACAAAUUGACAGUCUACAGAUUGACUCUCAACGAUUCAGCAAGUUUUCUAGUUGGAGAUCUCUCGUUAGAUCAUUAUCACUCUUAAGACACAUAGCUAAGACAUUAAGUAGUGCACCUACAUCUCGUUGCAAAGGUUGGCAUAUUUGCGCUGAAAAGGACACUCCAGAAUUUAUCAAGGGUACCGAAACAUUGAUCAUUCGACAAGUACAGAAGGAAUUCUUUGAACACGAAAUAGAUUCUUUAAAUACCGACCAGAAUGUUCCCAAAAAUAGUGCGAUUUUAAAACUUGACCCAAUACUGGAUGCACAUGGUAUCUUGCGAGUAGGAGGUAGAUUGAAUCGCUCUACAUUGACACUUGGUGAAAAGAAUCCUAUUUUAAUUCCUGGUAAACACCAUAUUGCGAGAUUACUAGUGUUACAUUACCACGAUAAAGUCCACCAUCAGGGACGUCAUAUUACCGAGGGCGCAAUCAGGACUGCUGGUUACUGGAUUACCGGUCUCAAGCGUUUGAUAUACUCAAUUGUUUCAAGUUGCAUUUUAUGCCUAAGGUUUAGAGGUACUUUUUCGUCUCAAAAAAUGGCUGAUCUUCCAGAAGAAAGACUUUUAGCAUGCCCACCAUUUACAUACGUUGGCGUUGAUUGUUUUGGACCCUGGAACAUUGUUACAAGACGGACUCGUGGUGGAAGCGCAAAUUCAAAACGAUGGGCUGUAUUAUUUGUCUGUUUUUCAUGUCGAGGUGUGCAUAUUGAAAUAAUUGAAGAGAUGACUACCGCAUCCUUUAUAAAUUCACUUCGCCGCUUCAUAUCAAUCAGAGGAUAUGUUAAAGAAUUCUUUUCUGAUAGAGGAACCAACUUUAUCGGCGGCGCCCGAGAGCUCGGCAUAGAAGCUAUUUUUGUUGAGGACUCACUGUUUCAAUCAUUCAUGAAAGAACAAAAAACUGUGUGGAAAUUCAAUACACCGUACUCGUCCCAUAUGGGAGGUUCAUGGGAACGUCUCAUUGGCAUAGCAAGACGAAUAUUGGACUCAAUAUUGUUUAAAGCAGGACAUCAUCGACUCACACAUGAAGUCUUGUGUACUUUCAUGGCAGAAACAACAGCUAUUAUGAACGCUCGUCCUUUAGUGCCUAUUUCAUCCGAUCCUAACUCACCAUUUAUCUUAUCUCCAAAUACUUUGCUAACACAGAAAGUAAGUGAAAAUAUUGAGGACUUCAGCCAUUUGAACACGCAUGAUGUUUACACAAAUCAGUGGAAAUUUGUUCAGGUUUUAGCAGACAAAUUUUGGACACGUUGGCGACAAGAAUAUUUGCAGUCGUUACAAACUCGUCGCAAAUGGCAGCACAUCAAACAAAACAUUCAAGUAGGUGAUUUAGUGCUUCUUAAAGACAAUGAACUCCAUCGAAAUAACUGGCCAAUAGGUCUUGUUGAACGUGUUUUUCCCGGUAGAGACAAUUUGAUCCGUAAAGUUCAGUUGAGGGUUGUAAGAGACAAACAACAUCGUGUGUAUGUGCGCCCAAUCAGCCAAAUUGUUUUACUGUGUCAUAGUUGAGACCUUUAUUUAAGAAGUUUAACAAGUAUUUGACUGAAAUGUAGUAUUUUUGAACACUUGUAAGUUUGUUUUGAUAAGAACGUUUUUGCUCUAUGAGUAUGGUGAUAUUUUUCAUAUCAGACGGGGAGUGUGCUGUUUCAUUGUUUCUAUAAUUUGAUAACUUUAUUUUUUGUCUAAUUGUCUUUGUUUACAUUUGUACUUUCAUUUUAGUACUACUUUCACUUUUCAUUCCAGGUAAAUUUACCUUUACUUUUUAUUUUUAUAAUUACCUGUACUUUCAUUUUAAUGAGUACUUUCACUUUCACUUUAAAGAGUUAAUUUCCUGUUUCCUGUGUAUAAUCAUAGAUGUUGUGUACCACAACAAGGUUGACAAAUGUUUUGAAUCUAACUAGAACUUGGUCAUCCUAUGCUGGCAGACCAAUAUCUUUUUACCACACGCACUCACCACAUGUAUGUAACAACUUGAACUGUAUAUUAUAUCAAUAUUAAACAUUAUUGGAUAAGAUUA